CUCUCCCUAACCAUUGAACCAACAAAAAUACUCUGAACACGGCCAGCAAUUGAUUUCUCUAAAUCAUCACCGAAUGGAUAGAAUAAGCAAUAAACUCAGAAUGCAAAUCAAAAUUUUUUAACAGCCAUAUCCAUUGAGUUCUUAAGUCAUUGAGUGGCGGCAGCAGAUGCUUUCUCCACUUUUUCCUUCUCAAUCUCUACUCUCCUCUGGUCAGCAUGCUGGGCAACUCCAUUUGCAAGUGCCUGAUACUGGAACUCCAGUGUCUGGGUAAGGUUUUGAAAUCUCAAUGGAUCUGAUGCCUGCAUGACUGUGAUUCAUGGAGCAGUAGCAUGUAAGUCAAGUAAUACAAAAAUAAAAUUCGAUUCAAAAACAUCAAAUUUCAAAGUUUGCCGUACCUUUAAUCGUAUCCACAAAGAAUACAAAUGGAUCCACCUCAUCAAUAGGUGAUUGUAACUCUUCAUCAUCACUGAAGUCAUCAUCUGAGUCAUCGUCAUCCUCAUCAUGCGGACGGAAAGCCCUUGCCUGAAAUUCCAAACGACAGAUAAUGAUCAGAUGACAACUUUCCAUCCAUGGAACAUCAACUGCUGGAUCGUGAGAGAUAAUGAUCAAAUACCAUUACCAUUUCAUCAUUCAUCGGAUCCUAAAAAUGGAACAUUCCCCAUAUUUUGGGAAUACUGUUACCAUUUUAAGGGAGUGGCCAAACCUCUUAAUCCUAUGUAUGUAUUGCAAAGUUUUUGCGUUCCAUUUUAGGAUUCAACAAAUGAUGAAAUUGGCAUUUCAUAAAUAUCUGCUCAUUUAAUACCUUGUUUCCAAAUUAAAACUACCUUGGGAAAAAAUUAUCAAUAACUACGCACCUGUGCAGCUAACUUUUGAAGUCUGAUGCUGUCAGCUUCAUCUCCAUCCUCAGCAUCAACACCCAUUUCCUUGUCAGAACCAUCACCAUCAUCAUCCUCAUCAUCCGUUUGGAAGCCAUCCAUAUCAUCAUCAUCUUCGGCCUCUUCAUCCUUCGCAGCUUCUGUAAAAUUUUACACAAGUAUCCCAAUACAUAAAUAAACAGUAAAUAUAAUCACACAAAUAGUAAGGUACAAGGAUUAGAGAGAGAGAGAGAGAGAGAGAGAGAGAGACCUGCAACUUGCUCCUUGUAUGCAACUAGGAGAUCAAGAGUAGCCCUGAAAACACGGCCCAACGCCUCCCCUGGUAAUUGAUCCGCAGGAAGUGCAAGUAGAGAUGUCAAUCCCAAGCAGCAAACUUUCUUAUCAUGUUCCCUUCACAAAAAUCAUUUCCAUACACAUUCUAUAGAAUUGCCAGACUGAAAACAAUUACCAUCCCCAACUGCAACCCCAACAAGCGGCAGUUCCAGUGUUGUGCCUUACCAAAGGGAUCUUGGAUACACAAAGCUCCAAGCACUUGCAAACUGGAAAAUCUCUUGCGACUGACAGGCUCUCCCUAACCAUUGAACCAACAAAAAUACUCUGAACACGGCCAGCAAUUGAUUUCUCUAAAUCAUCACCGAAUGGAUAGAAUAAGCAAUAAACUCAGAAUGCAAAUCAAAAUUUUUUAACAGCCAUAUCCAUUGAGUUCUUAAGUCAUUGAGUGGCGGCAGCAGAUGCUUUCUCCACUUUUUCCUUCUCAAUCUCUACUCUCCUCUGGUCAGCAUGCUGGGCAACUCCAUUUGCAAGUGCCUGAUACUGGAACUCCAGUGUCUGGGUAAGGUUUUGAAAUCUCAAUGGAUCUGAUGCCUGCAUGACUGUGAUUCAUGGAGCAGUAGCAUGUAAGUCAAGUAAUACAAAAAUAAAAUUCGAUUCAAAAACAUCAAAUUUCAAAGUUUGCCGUACCUUUAAUCGUAUCCACAAAGAAUACA
Molecule: long non-coding RNA, 1861 nt
Filed under: Citrus sinensis (sweet orange)
Lineage: Eukaryota; Viridiplantae; Streptophyta; Magnoliopsida; Sapindales; Rutaceae
Description: long non-coding RNA (CSIN_LNC002288)
Source: RNAcentral